CAAUAGCGUAUAUUUAAGUUGCUGCAGUUAAAAAGCUCGUAGUUGGAUUUCGGGUGGGAAUGGCCGGUCCGCCGUUUCGGUGUGCACUUGCUACGCCCACCUUGCUGCCGGGGACGUGCUCUUGAGUUCACGCUCGGGACACGGAGUCGGCGAGGUUACUUUGAGUAAAUUAGAGUGUUCAAAGCAGGCCUACGCUUGAAUACAUUAGCAUGGAAUAAUGGAAUAGGACUUUGGUGCUAUUUUGUUGGUUUAUGGGACCGAAGUAAUGAUUAACAGGGACAGUUGGGGCCGUUUAUAUUUCGUUGUCAGAGGUGAAAUUCUUGGAUUUACGAAAGAUAAACUUCUGCGAAAGCAUUCGGCAAGGAUGUUUUCAUUGA
This 377-nucleotide ribosomal RNA is filed under the name uncultured eukaryote. RNAcentral describes it as "partial 18S ribosomal RNA". It matches the Rfam family "Eukaryotic small subunit ribosomal RNA", at positions 592 to 976 of the family's 1831-position model. The record is from RNAcentral.